Molecule: long non-coding RNA, 1536 nt
Organism: Ictalurus punctatus (channel catfish)
Lineage: Eukaryota; Metazoa; Chordata; Actinopteri; Siluriformes; Ictaluridae
Source: Ensembl
AUUUCUGACAUAAAAAAAAAGCACAAAUUGGGCAGUUUUACCUAAAUACUGUUAAUAAAACCCCGCUAAUCAAAGCAGGGAAAGGGUAAAUGAAGGGUUUGUGUUUUUUUGUAUUGGUUUGGAAUAUGAAGUAUAAUGUGGAAGAUAAUGUUGUGUAUGGAGAGACUGUAUGAUUCAUAUUUAAUGUGUAUUGUAGCUAUGUAUUUUGCAAAGGGAAAUGGGGUGCACUUUAUUAUUAAUUUAAAACAAAAAAAAACUGCCUUUUUAAUUUUGUUUGUUUUAUUAGUGUGUGAGUGGGAAAACCCUAAAAAGCCAUAUCAUUUAAGCCAGAAGUUCAUAUUUAGCUUACAGAGUGCCGAUAUGAUGGUGUAACUCUGCAGAUGGUAGCACACUUUACUUUGUGCGUGUGUGUGUGUGUGUGUGUGUGUGUGUGUGUGUGUGUGUGUGUGUGUGUGUGUGUGUGUGUGUGUGUGUGUAAUGCUGUCUUAGUGCUCCAUUAAGUAGCACUGACACAUUUCGCCCUCUGGAGUGAGAAGUCUGAAUGUCAGAGCACAACAUGUUGCCUCUCAGGCUCUUACGCUAACUGUGUUUGCUUUGCUGUUAACCCUCUUUCUUCUGCAAGCCAAAUUGCCUGUUGGAACAAUAUUGCCAACAGAGCCCUGAGUGUUUAGGCUGAAAUGUGCGUGGCCCUUUGUGAGCAAAAUAAAGUGCUGCUUUCUGUAGUGUGUGUUACCGUCAAACAGAGAAUAUGGCUUUUCAUGAACCAAUGUUGAGUUUGUUUUUCUCUCUCUUUCUCUCUAUGUGUGUGUGCUUGUGUGUGUGUGUGUGUGUGUGUGUGUGUGUGUGUGUGUGUGUGUGUGUGUGUGUGUGUGUGUGCGUGCAUGUGGACAUUUUGACAGAAGCCACUGAUGAAAAAGCAGUGCUUGGGCUUGUCUAUCACAUUCUCACUCUUUCAGAGUGGAACAAACUUUUCCUUUCAUAUGAAUUAUAAAUAUAUGGCUGUCCUACAAUGGCCUCUUUGUACACGUUUCCAUCUUUCUGAUCAGGAGGAACAGCUGAUAAAGCAACAAGCAUUCUACAUAACACAGUACUCAAACCAAAAAAGCUGGUUCCCAUUUUUCCUUUUCCUCUAAUCUUUUCUCUAUUUUUUGUUUGUUUGUUUGUUGUUUUUGUUGUUGUUGUUGUUUUUGUUGUCAUGUCUUUGAAUGGAUCCACACUGAGCAGUUCUGUUGACAAAAACUACUGUAUAGAUUGUUAUAAUUUUUUUUGGAUGAAGGCUGUAAAAUAACUUUUAAAAUUCACAAUAUUAAAUUAAAGUUACUUCUUGUCUGUGAUCUUGCAAGUAUCCUUUUCUUGUUUCAGGUAGUGCUCUUUUGAUACACGUAUACAUGGAUUCCCAAACUAUUUUCAUCUAUAAGGUUUUGCCCUCUUCCGUUUUCUGAUAGACGCUUAUAAGUCCCUGAAUGUAAAAUCAUUACAAACACUUGUUUUGGAGCUUAGAUUCUCCACAUGACCCUCAAUCCCCUUCAACAUCCC